ACUGCACCUAGAGGUGUUGCAGGUGUAGCUGCUAUGUCACAUGGGCGUCAGUAGGUGGCAGAGAGGAGAGAGGCUAUGUUCUGACCUGCAUACAUCCGAAUGAUCAGCAGCCUAACACU
This 119-nucleotide small nucleolar RNA is filed under the name Mus pahari (shrew mouse). RNAcentral's name for it is "snoRNA (MGP_PahariEiJ_G0034880.1)". It matches the Rfam family "Small nucleolar RNA SNORA17". From Rfam's summary of the family: snoRNA ACA 17 belongs to the H/ACA family of snoRNAs and is predicted to guide pseudouridylation of the 28S rRNA at positions U4659 and U4598. It shares the same host gene together with ACA43. The record is from RNAcentral. Lineage: Eukaryota; Metazoa; Chordata; Mammalia; Rodentia; Muridae.